AACGAACGCUGGCGGCAGGCUUAACACAUGCAAGUCGAACGCACCUUUCGGGGUGAGUGGCAGACGGGUGAGUAACGCGUGGGAAUCUACCCUUCUCUACGGGAUAGCUCCGGGAAACUGGAAUUAAUACCGUAUACGUCCUGAGGGAGAAAGAUUUAUCGGGGAAGGAUGAGCCCGCGUUGGAUUAGCUAGUUGGUGGGGUAAAGGCCUACCAAGGCGACGAUCCAUAGCUGGUCUAAGAGGAUGAUCAGCCACAUUGGGACUGAGACACGGCCCAAACUCCUACGGGACGCAGCAGUGGGGAAUAUUGGACAAGGGGCGCAAGCCCGACACAGCCAUGCCGCGGGAGUGAUGAAGGCCCUAGGGAUGUAAAGCUCUUUCAGUGGGGACGAUAAUGACGGUACCCACAGAAGAAGCACCGGCUAACUUCGUG
Molecule: ribosomal RNA, 433 nt
Filed under: uncultured bacterium
Lineage: Bacteria
Description: partial 16S ribosomal RNA
Rfam family: Bacterial small subunit ribosomal RNA
Source: RNAcentral